RNAcentral lists this transfer RNA (61 nucleotides) under human gut metagenome. It matches the Rfam family "tRNA", at positions 7 to 64 of the family's 71-position model. Rfam says of the family: Transfer RNA (tRNA) molecules are approximately 80 nucleotides in length. The record is from RNAcentral. RNAcentral also lists the same sequence under 2 other names.
CGUGGCUCAGCCGGUAGAGCAAUUGAUUCGUAAUCAAUAGGUCGGCGGUUCGAAUCCGCCC